RNAcentral lists this ribosomal RNA (301 nucleotides) under uncultured bacterium. RNAcentral describes it as "partial 16S ribosomal RNA". It matches the Rfam family "Bacterial small subunit ribosomal RNA", at positions 509 to 808 of the family's 1533-position model. The record is from RNAcentral.
CAGUAGCCGCGGGAAUACGUAGGUCCCGAGCGUUGUCCGGAUUUAUUGGGCGUAAAGCGAGCGCAGGCGGUUAGAUAAGUCUGAAGUUAAAGGCUGUGGCUUAACCAUAGUAUGCUUUGGAAACUGUUUAACUUGAGUGCAGAAGGGGAGAGUGGAAUUCCAUGUGUAGCGGUGAAAUGCGUAGAUAUAUGGAGGAACACCGGUGGCGAAAGCGGCACUCUGGUCUGUAACUGACGCUGAGGCUCGAAAGCGUGGGGAGCAAACAGGAUUAGAUACCCCCGUAGUCCCUGUCUCUUAUACA